UCUGGCUCAGGACGAACGCUGGCGGCGUGCUAAUACAUGCAAGUCGAGCGGACAGAUGGGAGCUUGCUCCCUGAUGUUAGCGGCGGACGGGUGAGUAACACGUGGGUAACCUGCCUGUAAGACUGGGAUAACUCCGGGAAACCGGGGCUAAUACCGGAUGCUUGAUUGAACCGCAUGGUUCAAUUAUAAAAGGUGGCUUUUAGCUACCACUUACAGAUGGACCCGCGGCGCAUUAGCUAGUUGGUGAGGUAACGGCUCACCAAGGCAACGAUGCGUAGCCGACCUGAGAGGGUGAUCGGCCACACUGGGACUGAGACACGGCCCAGACUCCUACGGGAGGCAGCAGUAGGGAAUCUUCCGCAAUGGACGAAAGUCUGACGGAGCAACGCCGCGUGAGUGAUGAAGGUUUUCGGAUCGUAAAACUCUGUUGUUAGGGAAGAACAAGUACCGUUCGAAUAGGGCGGUACCUUGACGGUACCUAACCAGAAAGCCACGGCUAACUACGUGCCAGCAGCCGCGGUAAUACGUAGGUGGCAAGCGUUGUCCGGAAUUAUUGGGCGUAAAGCGCGCGCAGGCGGUUUCUUAAGUCUGAUGUGAAAGCCCCCGGCUCAACCGGGGAGGGUCAUUGGAAACUGGGGAACUUGAGUGCAGAAGAGGAGAGUGGAAUUCCACGUGUAGCGGUGAAAUGCGUAGAGAUGUGGAGGAACACCAGUGGCGAAGGCGACUCUCUGGUCUGUAACUGACGCUGAGGCGCGAAAGCGUGGGGAGCGAACAGGAUUAGAUACCCUGGUAGUCCACG
This 799-nucleotide ribosomal RNA is filed under the name Bacillus paralicheniformis. RNAcentral describes it as "bacterial SSU rRNA". It matches the Rfam family "Bacterial small subunit ribosomal RNA", at positions 18 to 799 of the family's 1533-position model. Lineage: Bacteria; Bacillati; Bacillota; Bacilli; Caryophanales; Bacillaceae. The record is from RNAcentral.